RNAcentral lists this non-coding RNA (78 nucleotides) under Loxodonta africana (African savanna elephant). The record is from RNAcentral. Lineage: Eukaryota; Metazoa; Chordata; Mammalia; Proboscidea; Elephantidae.
GGCUGGUAAGAUGGUGGUAACGUUAACGUUACCAAAAUUGAUAUACAACCCCACAUUGCUGAAUUUGACUGGCUUUAA